AACGCACCUUGCGCCCUUUGGUAUUCCAAAGGGCAUGCCUGUUUGAGUGUCAUGAAAACUCAUCCUCCUUGGGGUAUCCCCAAUUGGAGUGAUGGAUUGGGUGUCUGCCGAUUUAAUAUCGGCUCGCCUUAAAAGUAUCAGUGGUUAACAUGGGAUGUAAUACGUUUCGUCCUGUUCGACUGCUUAUAACACCAAUUCUUUCAAUCUGACCUCAAAUCAGGUAGGGCUACCCGCUGAACUUAA
RNAcentral lists this unclassified non-coding RNA (243 nucleotides) under Psathyrella sp. RNAcentral describes it as "partial contains 5.8S ribosomal RNA, internal transcribed spacer 2, and large subunit ribosomal RNA". The stretch from base 1 to 52 matches the Rfam family "5.8S ribosomal RNA", at positions 103 to 154 of the family's 154-position model. Lineage: Eukaryota; Fungi; Basidiomycota; Agaricomycetes; Agaricales; Psathyrellaceae. The record is from RNAcentral.